Molecule: ribosomal RNA, 245 nt
Filed under: Obesumbacterium proteus
Lineage: Bacteria; Pseudomonadati; Pseudomonadota; Gammaproteobacteria; Enterobacterales; Hafniaceae
Description: partial 16S ribosomal RNA
Rfam family: Bacterial small subunit ribosomal RNA
Source: RNAcentral
UUAAUUGAAGAGUUUGAUCAUGGCUCAGAUUGAACGCUGGCGGCAGGCCUAACACAUGCAAGUCGAGCGGUAGCACAAGAGAGCUUGCUCUCUGGGUGACGAGCGGCGGACGGGUGAGUAAUGUCUGGGAAACUGCCUGAUGGAGGGGGAUAACUACUGGAAACGGUAGCUAAUACCGCAUAACGUCUUCGGACCAAAGUGGGGGACCUUCGGGCCUCACGCCAUCAGAUGUGCCCAGAUGGGAU